RNAcentral lists this ribosomal RNA (484 nucleotides) under uncultured bacterium. Its description in RNAcentral is "partial 16S ribosomal RNA". It matches the Rfam family "Bacterial small subunit ribosomal RNA", at positions 29 to 523 of the family's 1533-position model. The record is from RNAcentral.
AGUGAACGCUGGCGGCGUGCUUAACACAUGCAGGUCGAACGAGAACGGAAUAUAGCUUGCUAUAUUUGUCAGCUAAGUGGCGCACGGGUGAGUAAUGUAUAGAUAACCUGCCCUUAAGAAAGGAAUAACAGUUGGAAACGACUGCUAAUGCCCUAUAUGCCUUUAAUACAUAAGUAUGCAAGGGAAACGCUUUAGUGCUUAAGGAUGGGUCUGUAUGGUAUCAGCUUGUUGGUGAGGUAAUGCUCACCAAGGCUAUGACGCCUAACUGGUUUGAGAGGAUGAUCAGUCACACUGGAAAUGAGAAACGGUCCAGACACCUACGGGAGGCAGCAGUGGGGAAUAUUGCACAAUGGACGAAAGUCUGAUGCAGCAACGCCGCGUGGAGGAUGACACAUUUCGGUGCGUAAACUCCUUUUAUAUAGGAAGAUAAUGACGGUACUAUAUGAAUAAGCACCGGCUAACUCCGUGCCAGCCGCCGCUGUAA